RNAcentral lists this ribosomal RNA (434 nucleotides) under uncultured bacterium. Its description in RNAcentral is "bacterial SSU rRNA". It matches the Rfam family "Bacterial small subunit ribosomal RNA", at positions 80 to 518 of the family's 1533-position model. The record is from RNAcentral.
AUGGACGAGGUACAAGCUUAGUGGCGAACGGGUAGAGGUAACACGUGAAGGAACCUAGCCCUUCAGUGGGGACGAACAGUUGGAAACGACUGCUAAUACCGCAUAAGACCACAGUACCGCAUGGUACAGUGAUCAAAGGAUUUAUUCGCUGAAGGAUGGCUUCGCGUCCGAUUAGGUAGUUGGUGAGGUAACGGCCCGACCCAAGCCUACGAUCGGUAGCCGGACUGAGAGGUUGAUCGGCCACAUUGGGACUGAGACACGGCCCAGACUCCUACGGGAGGCAGCAGUGGGGAAUAUUGCACAAUGGAGGAAACUCUGAUUGCAGCGACGCCGCGUGAGGGAAGAAGGUCUUCGGAUUGUAAACCUCUGUCUUCAGGGACGAUAAUGACGGUACCUGAGGAGGAAGCACCGGCUAACUACGUGCCAGCCGCGGC